Molecule: long non-coding RNA, 816 nt
Filed under: Capsicum annuum
Lineage: Eukaryota; Viridiplantae; Streptophyta; Magnoliopsida; Solanales; Solanaceae
Description: long non-coding RNA (CANN_LNC020682)
Source: RNAcentral
AACGUCCGCACGGGCAGCAGCGCACGGCAUCUAUUGCCGGGCGUUGGGGCCGGUGCUGGGCGUGCAUCGACGGAGCAUUUGGACGCACGGCGCGUGAGUUGUGUUCGGCACGCGCGGUUAGGUUGGAUCCCUGCUCGAGCAGCGACGUCCUGACCCGCCUGCCAUCUCAGUCGCGGGGCAAGCGCAAUGCAGGCUUGCUCGAAGUCGGUUUCCUGUGCUGCAUACCUAAUGCCCAGGCAUUAUCAAGUUUUACCGACCGCCUUUCGCCCCUCGCAUUUCGUGCGCGGGGCGAAUCGAAAGGCCGCCCUCGCGUCCCACGCCUCCCUCGCUUCGUCGUGCGAUGUCGUGGUCCGUGAGCGGCGGUUCCGGCGGCCGGCAUGGGCGGCGGCCAGUGUGGGCAGCGCCCACGCAUGAGCCUCGGUGUGCCUUCAUCUCCCCUGCUCCCUCCAAGAGCAGGUUAUCGUGUCAAACGAGACAUGCUUCAGCCUUGCAACGUCCGCAUGGGCAGCAGCGCAUGACAUUUAUUGCUGGGCGUUGGGGCCGGUGCUAGGCGUGCAUCGACGGAGCAUUUGGACGCACGGCGUGUGAGUUGUGUUCGGCACGUGCGGUUAGGUUGGAUCCCUACUCGAGCAGCGACGUCCUGACCCGCCUGCCAUCUCAGUCGCGGGGCAAGCGCAAUGCAGGCUUGCUCGAAGUCGGUUUCCUGUGCUGCAUACCUAAUGCCCAGGCAUUAUCAAGUUUUAUCGAUCGUCUUUCGCCCGUCGCAUUUCGUGCGCGGAGCGAAUCGAAAGGCCGCCCUCGCGUCCCACGCCUCCC